RNAcentral lists this ribosomal RNA (301 nucleotides) under uncultured bacterium. Its description in RNAcentral is "partial 16S ribosomal RNA". It matches the Rfam family "Bacterial small subunit ribosomal RNA", at positions 509 to 807 of the family's 1533-position model. The record is from RNAcentral.
CAGCAGCCGCGGGAAUACGGAGGGAGCUAGCGUUGUUCGGAAUUACUGGGCAUAAAGCGCGCGUAGGCGGUUACUCAAGUCAGAGGUGAAAGCCCGGGGCUCAACCCCGGAACUGCCUUUGAAACUAGGUGACUAGAAUCUUGGAGAGGUCAGUGGAAUUCCGAGUGUAGAGGUGAAAUUCGUAGAUAUUCGGAAGAACACCAGUGGCGAAGGCGACUGACUGGACAAGUAUUGACGCUGAGGUGCGAAAGCGUGGGGAGCAAACAGGAUUAGAUACCCCCGUAGUCCCUGUCUCUUAUAC